Molecule: non-coding RNA, 386 nt
Filed under: Gossypium arboreum
Lineage: Eukaryota; Viridiplantae; Streptophyta; Magnoliopsida; Malvales; Malvaceae
Description: Eukaryotic large subunit ribosomal RNA
Rfam family: Eukaryotic large subunit ribosomal RNA
Source: Rfam by way of RNAcentral
UUGGUCGUACCGGAGCAUCGAGCACCAUUGGUAACCGUUGAUUCGCACAAUUGGUCAUCGCACUUGGUUGAAAAGCCAGUGGCGUGAAGCUACCGUGCGCUAGAUUAUGACUGAACGUCUCUAAGUCAGAAUUUAGGCUAGAAGCGACGCACGCGCCAGUCGCCCGAUUUUUGACCCGUAGUGGGGGCCUCUAGCACCAAGGGCACAUUUCGUAGGUGCAGCGACGGCGACAGACAAGUCGCGGGCGCCUCCUUGGAGCGUAAUUCCCACCGAGCAGUAAGUAGAAUCCUUUGCAGAUGACUUAAAUACGCAACGGGGCAUUGUAACUGGCAGAGUGGCCUUGCUGCCAUGAUCCACUGAGAUUCAUCCCUUUGUCGCUUUGAUUC